UUUGUCAUUCAUUAAACCCCAAACGCCGCGAGCCUACUGGCCUUGCCGCAGUUCCCGUAGCCCCGCCUCGCCGCGUUGUAUUGUGGGAGCUGUAGUUCUGGACUGCCCAGGGCUUGGAAGGAGUAAGAAGGAGGUUGAAACCUGUUAUGAAUCUGAGAAUUCACAUGGCAGGUUGGAGGUAUGGAACUCAGCCUAUAUGACAGUCAUAGAAGAGUUUGUAGAUCCAUUUUACAGCGAAGCAUGGAGGAUCCAGUGAUUUGGGAAGUAGUCUAGAAGGUUGACACCUAUGGCUAAAUCCUCUGGGCACCCAGGGCCUCGGAUGCACCAGCCAAUGGCAGUGUUCAAGACUAUAUGGAGUGAGUGUGAGCUACAAACCUGAAAAGGGAAGGAAUAAGGAGAGUGAAGAGAGGAAGCUGCAUGAGCAGGAUGCGAUGCAAAUGCCUGGGAGCACCAGAGAUGCCGUCAUCACGUGUUGCCACUGCUGUUUUAAUAACCAGUGCUCAGGGAACAUCAUGGAAGAAGGGACAGAAAGAAUUUAAGAGCCUGAGGAUGACGAGGAGUGCUGUGAAAUACCAUUCACAACAGUAUUUGUGGACUUGACCUGGCUGUUGGACACAUGGACUGAUGGCAGCUAUGGUUGCCUUCCCGAGUUACACUUAAUCAAAAAGCUAAUCAAAUUUCAGACAUGGAUUGGGCAGGAGGCUCUGAUGCUGCACUCCUAGUGAAGAACUGUUGGCAGUGGAUGGCUGCUGGAGAAAGAAGGGUCACUUUUCACUAGGAUUGUGGCUACCGGUAGGUGGUAGAUUUCCCACACACCAGUGGAUAAACCCACACCUCUAUGCACCUGGGCAGCGCUAAUUGUAUUUGUGAAUUAAAAAUAAACUAACAAAAGAAGGGCAUGAACUUUGGACAUAUUAUCUAGGGGACUGGAAGGGAAUUGGAGGUUGUAACUGAGUGGUAGAUAUGAUCAAGAUACAUUGUAGACAUGUACAAAAUUUUCAAAGAAUAAAUAAAAAGAAAAUAUUUAAAAGCUCUCAUAGACAGAUAUAUUUGCAGAGCGCUGAACACAAUAAGCAGACAGAAAAGUUGUUAAGAUGACAUUGUACUAUUAAACUACACCAAGGAUUUACCACAGAAGGGUAUUGUAAACAAUAAUCAAUUAAUUGUUUCAGAAACUUUAAGUAUAAAUCAGUGAAUAGCAUGCCUACAGAUGAGUGAUUCUGUGAGUCCGUUCCAUGCUUAUAAACAACUUCUAGGUCCUCUGUUGUCAGGGUUAAAGCUGUGUUUGUAGUUCUGCUGGCUAGAGGCCAUGAAACAUCCUGCCUCCCUGUCCUGCCUGCAGCCAGGAGACACCAGAAGCACCUACCCUUCCUUCUUUGCUCACUAACAAAGCCUCUAAAACCAGGUUGACAGGCGGUGAGUGCCUCCUCCUUCCGUGUUCGUUUUGCUUGAGGAAACAACCCAAAGCCCCUGGUGAGGAGGUGAAGAUCUAUUGUCCAUGAAGGAUCUGAAUUUCAGCUUCGUGCUCAGCACUCCUGCAAUUUGCCUUCAUUUUUUUACAAGAUGCAAAUAGCACUCAUUGGCUUCGCUGCCCUUCCGUUGCCCUUGUCAUUCCUGCAGUCGUGUUGAGAAGAUGACAUCGCCACAAAAGAACUGACCAUCUUGUAUUGGCUAAACAAUUGGCUUGACCUUAGCCAUUCUGACUGAGAUAAGAGGAACUCUCACCUCAUUCUGACUGAGAUAAGAGGAACUUGGUGCAUGCACUGGCUUUCUGGAGCCCAUUACCUAUGGUGGGACACCUUGCUCGCCCUUGAUGCAGGGGGCUUGGUCCUGCCUCAACUGAAUGUACCAGGCUUUGCUGACUCCCCAUGGAAGGCCUUACAUUU
Molecule: non-coding RNA, 1886 nt
Organism: Peromyscus maniculatus bairdii (prairie deer mouse)
Lineage: Eukaryota; Metazoa; Chordata; Mammalia; Rodentia; Cricetidae
Source: RefSeq, a predicted model, not a curated record